AGUUCCUUCACUCAGCAGUGUCUCUGGAGCAUGGUGGGCUGCACACUCUUCCCUAAGGGUGAGCAAAGCAGCAGCCUACAGAUCACAGAGUGACGGAAUCAUCAGGGCUGGAAAAGCCUUCUAAAAUCAUCAAACAGAACUGUUAAUGUAACACUGCCAAACUCACCCCAAACCCUCCUCCAGGACCAUGUUACAUAGUUUUUAUUCAAGGCCAGGUUGGAUGUUGCUUGGAGCAACCUGGUCUAUAGAAUGUGUCCCUGGCCAUGGCAGAGAAUGGAACAAAAUGAGUUUAAGGUCCCUUCCAUCCCAAACCAGUCUGUGAUUCUAUGAUCCUACCAGAGAACACAAUUGCAAAUUGCUCAGAGGAAAGAUACAGUUGAAGCAAGCCUGUGAUAUCGUGGGGUUGAUUAACCCUAUUAACCCGUGUUUUAGACUCUCUGACUGCAACAAAGUGACUUUACGUCUUAAUUAGCAUGGAGGGGAGAGUACCCACAUGGAGACCAAACCCAGGCGCUGCAGUUAUUCCAACUGCUUAGUUUUGGUGCCAGAACCCCUCCGGGGGUGGCAGAGCAGUGCACAUCCCUGGGUGGGUCCCACACAGCAAGCAAGAGGGAUGCUGCAGGAAUUACUCCAUACCUGGAUGUUAGAAGCAAGGAUGGGUGAGCAUGGCCAGCAGGCAGCCCCAGAGGUGGGAAUGAGGAACUGAAAUGGGGCUGAAGGCACCAGCAUCCCCAAAUGCCUUUAUGAGCACCUCAAAACCAAGGUGGGAGCACCCAGAUCUGCUCUGGUGCUGCCCAAAGAGGUGAGGGGUAGGAGGAGGAAACACACACUGCCUACAUGCUGUGACCACAGCAGGGUCAUUCCACCAAAAAUCAGGUCUUUUCUCAAACCAGAAGAGUUUCAGUGUGCCCCAGGAGCUGCAGCAAACUGAGGAAGAGGAGGGAAGCCAAGCUGCCUGUGCCUCCUCCCAGUACCGGGACUCAGGGCAGAAGUUAGGAUGCUUCAAAUCCCAACAGCUGCAGUGUGUCUCCAGGAUCUGAGAAACCAGACCAAGCAAUUGAAAAGGAAUCCAGUUGUUUAAGCUUAGGCUGGGAUUGUGUUUGUAUUUGUUUUGCUUGUAACCUUUCGUUUCCAGCCUUCCAGCUAAAAGCCUGACCUUACGUCUUGCUUAAUAAACCUUUGGAAAAAGCUUUA
This is a long non-coding RNA of Passer domesticus (house sparrow), 1194 nucleotides long. RefSeq lists it as uncharacterized. The transcript is spliced from 2 exons. The record is from RefSeq and is a predicted model, not a curated record. NCBI's taxonomy places the organism in Eukaryota, Metazoa, Chordata, Aves, Passeriformes, Passeridae.